UCCAUCAGUUUUAUUUUAUUUGUAUCAUCAAAGAUGACUAAAAACAUGGUUCUUACAAUUUUAAUGGUGUUCUUUGUUAUUGGAAUGGUGAUGGAGAAGACGCAAGGACGUAUAUGUCAUGUCUAUCUUGAAGGAGCAACUCCUGGUUGUGAUACUUCAGACUGUAACCUAGAUUGUCGUGACAAGUAUAAAGGAACAGGAACUUGUGAACCAGCAGGCUCCAAAAGAGAAUACCAGACCUGCUACUGCAGUUUUAAUUGUUAAAAUCGAUUUUUCCUUUAUUAUCUAUAAACAAUCACCAAAUAUAAUUAAAAAAAAUAAUGGGUUGAAGAAAAAAUAUGUUGCGAUCUUUAUUGAAUAUUGCGAUCUUUUCUAAUUUUGAUGUGAAUGUUUCAUUUCAGAAGUUGUGGUUCGAUUUUAAAUUUCAGCA
Camelina sativa (false flax) is the source of this 430-nucleotide long non-coding RNA. RefSeq lists it as uncharacterized. The record is from RefSeq and is a predicted model, not a curated record. NCBI's taxonomy places the organism in Eukaryota, Viridiplantae, Streptophyta, Magnoliopsida, Brassicales, Brassicaceae.